AACUUGAGUGCCCCUGAGAUACUCAUUUGGAAUUGGGGUUACAUAAAUACAGAGCUUAAAGAGAAGCAGAAUUGGGACUCUCCGUGCUACAAGAAACUUGCAGCCAUCCAUGGAAAACACUUUGACUAAAAAUUUCAGGUGUACAAUAAAACGAUUGGACAAUUCUAUACAUUUCUCAGUUUUCAUCAAGAGAGAGAGAGCACAGCAAGGGGAGUGGCAGGCAGAGGAAGAGGGAGAAGCAAGUUCCCCAUGGAGCAGGGAGCCCGAUGCAGGGCUGAAUCCCAGGACCCUGGAAUCAUGACCUGAGCUGAAGGCAGACGUUUAACCAACUGAGCCACCCAGAUGCCCCAAUUUAUUUAUAUUUUAGCAUUACUUUGAGGAACAAAGUUCCAAAAUCU
Molecule: long non-coding RNA, 398 nt
Organism: Mirounga angustirostris (Northern elephant seal)
Lineage: Eukaryota; Metazoa; Chordata; Mammalia; Carnivora; Phocidae
Exons: 3
Source: RefSeq, a predicted model, not a curated record